GAAGUGCGAAUGCUGACAUGAGUAGCGAUAAUGCGGGUGAAAAGCCCGCACGCCGUAAGCCCAAGGUUUCCUGUUCAACGUUCAUCGGAGCAGGGUGAGUCGGCCCCUAAGGCGAGGCAGAGAUGCGUAGCUGAUGGGAAGCAGGUUAAUAUUCCUGCACCGUCGUAUGAUGCGAUGGGGGGACGGAUCGCGGAAGGUUGUCCAACUGUUGGAAUAGUUGGUUUUUGGCUCAUAGGAGGUACUUAGGCAAAUCCGGGUACAGAAUCCAAGGGGUUGAGACGAGCGGCCUUGUGCUGCGAAGCAAUCGGAAGUGGUUCCAAGAAAAGCCUCUAAGCUUCAGUCAUACGAGACCGUACCGCAAACCGACACAGGUGGGCGAGAUGAGUAUUCUAAGGCGCUUGAGAGAACUCGGGAGAAGGAACUCGGCAAAUUGGUACCGUAACUUCGGGAUAAGGUACGCCCUAGUAGUUUGACCACUUUACUGUGGAAGGAUGAACGGGUUGCAAUAAAAUGGUGGCUGCGACUGUUUAAUAAAAACACAGCACUCUGCAAACACGAAAGUGGACGUAUAGGGUGUGACGCCUGCCCGGUGCUGGAAGAUUAAAUGAUGGGGUGCAAGCUCUUGAUUGAAGUCCCAGUAAACGGCGGCCGUAACUAUAACGGUCCUAAGGUAGCGAAAUUCCUUGUCGGGUAAGUUCCGACCUGCACGAAUGGCGUAACGAUGGCCACACUGUCUCCUCCCGAGACUCAGCGAAGUUGAAAUGUUUGUGAUGAUGCAAUCUACCCGCGGCUAGACGGAAAGACCCCAUGAACCUUUACUGUAGCUUUGCAUUGGACUUUGAAUCAAUCUGUGUAGGAUAGGUGGGAGGCUUUGAAGCGGGGACGCCAGUUCUCGUGGAGCCAUCCUUGAAAUACCACCCUGGUUCAUUUGAGGUUCUAACCUUGGUCCGUUAUCCGGAUCGGGGACAGUGCAUGGUAGGCAGUUUGACUGGGGCGGUCUCCUCCUAAAGUGUAACGGAGGAGUUCGAAGGUACGCUAGGUACGGUCGGACAUCGUGCUAAUAGUGCAAUGGCAUAAGCGUGCUUAACUGCGAGACCGACAAGUCGAGCAGGUACGAAAGUAGGACAUAGUGAUCCGGUGGUUCUGUAUGGAAGGGCCAUCGCUCAACGGAUAAAAGGUACUCUGGGGAUAACAGGCUGAUUCCUCCCAAGAGUUCAUAUCGACGGGGGAGUUUGGCACCUCGAUGUCGGCUCAUCACAUCCUGGGGCUGUAGCCGGUCCCAAGGGUAUGGCUGUUCGCCAUUUAAAGUGGUACGUGAGCUGGGUUUAAAACGUCGUGAGACAGUUUGGUCCCUAUCUGCCGUGGGCGUUGGAAAUUUGAAGGGGGCUGCUCCUAGUACGAGAGGACCGGAGUGGACGAACCUCUGGUGUACCGGUUGUCACGCCAGUGGCAUUGCCGGGUAGCUAAGUUCGGAAGAGAUAACCGCUGAAAGCAUCUAAGCGGGAAACUUGCCUUGAGAUGAGAUUUCCCGGAGCCUUGAGCUCCUUGAAGGGUCGUUCGAGACCAGGACGUUGAUAGGCUGGGUGUGGAAGUGCAGUAAUGCAUUAAGCUAACCAGUACUAAUUGCCCGUACGGCUUGUCCCU
RNAcentral lists this ribosomal RNA (1644 nucleotides) under Massilia sp. ZL223. RNAcentral describes it as "partial 23S ribosomal RNA". It matches the Rfam family "Bacterial large subunit ribosomal RNA", at positions 1285 to 2925 of the family's 2925-position model. The record is from RNAcentral. Lineage: Bacteria; Pseudomonadati; Pseudomonadota; Betaproteobacteria; Burkholderiales; Oxalobacteraceae.